RNAcentral lists this ribosomal RNA (460 nucleotides) under uncultured bacterium. RNAcentral describes it as "partial 16S ribosomal RNA". It matches the Rfam family "Bacterial small subunit ribosomal RNA", at positions 338 to 795 of the family's 1533-position model. The record is from RNAcentral.
CCUACGGGAGGCUGCAGUGAGGAAUAUUGGUCAAUGGGCGGGAGCCUGAACCAGCCAAGUCGCGUGAGGGAAGACGGUCCUACGGAUUGUAAACCUCUUUUGCCGGGGAGCAACGGGGUCCUUGCGAGGGCCCAAUGAGAGUACCCGGAGAAAAAGCAUCGGCUAACUCCGUGCCAGCAGCCGCGGUAAUACGGAGGAUGCGAGCGUUAUCCGGAUUUAUUGGGUUUAAAGGGUGCGUAGGUUGUUUUUUAAGUUAGUGGUUAAACGUCGGGGCUUCACCUUGAUUUGCCAUUAAUACUGUAAGACUCGAGUUCAGACGAGGUAGGCGGAAUAAGUUAAGUAGCGGUGAAAUGCUUAGAUAUAACUUAGAACUCCGAUAGCGAAGGCAGCUUACCAGACUGCGACUGACGCUGAAGCACGAGAGCGUGGGUAGCGAACAGGAUUAGAUACCCCUGUAGUC